UUCUCAGCCUUGAAACAAAACUUGUUUUCAGAACCCUAUUGUCGAUAAGAAUUGGGGAGCAAAGAGGAUAAUAAAUUCUUGUUCCAUAGGGGCUGUCUUUUCGCAGUCAGUUCCUUGUACCAUCCUUACACAGUAAUCGGACUCCCUUCCAGUACAGGCAAAUUCAUUGAUCCAAGAGUUGUUAGAAUUUCAUUUUUCUUUGUGAUGGCUAGCCUCACCAGUCUUUUCUGUGUUGUCCUCCUUGUUUCCUCAGCCUUGAUGGUGCAUCAUGCCGCUGCACAAGAAAUGUGCCACAAUCUAAUUCCUGGAAAUGGGAAUUGUGAUGCCUCAACAUGCCAGAUGCAGUGCUCCAGCUUAAACCAGGGAACAGGAGCAUGCACUCAAACUUUUACAAAUCGAUUCAAUUGCAUUUGCAACUGGGAAUGUUCUUAGUUUAUCCAAGCCAUAAUCAACAGACUAGAAUUGUCCGAGCAUGUAAAUUCAGAUGUUGUGAAAAAAUAUUAUGCUUAAAGUUAUACUUGUUUCUUCCAAUGCAUUAAGAAGUUCAAACUUG
Long non-coding RNA from Populus euphratica (Euphrates poplar), 553 nucleotides. RefSeq lists it as uncharacterized. Lineage: Eukaryota; Viridiplantae; Streptophyta; Magnoliopsida; Malpighiales; Salicaceae. The transcript has 2 exons. The record is from RefSeq and is a predicted model, not a curated record.